UGGCCAGAGCCAAGUCUGGGAGCAAUGCUGCUUGGGCCUCUGGAAGAGCAGAGUUAAGGAAGGGAAAUACUGCUGAGAAACAGCAGCUGGGAGAGAGGAGUGAUAAAAUGAGACAGAACCAGCCCUGCAGCCCCCAUGCUGUAACCUUUUCAGUAUUCAAUGGCAAAAAUGGCCCACGGGAACUUUCUGAUUAUCAUUCAAGAGCAAGUGUCAAGGGAACAUAAUUACUUUUGUUAUACGGCAUUCUUCCCACUGAGAUGACACCAAAUGCCUGUGUGGUUUAACAAACAACACUGAUAAGUGGCACUUUUGAUAGGAAUGAGCCAGUUGUAUAUGCUAAAUCAAGUAGCCAGCAGAGACUCUAACUUUUUAAAGAGAUUUCAAAAGACACCAGAGAGGGAUUAUAAAUUGCUUCUGGUGUCAGUAUGAUUUAAUCAUCCUGAGGUCCGAAUUUCAUUAUGGAAAGUACCAAGUGCCAUUGGCUUUGAGUAUCAAAAACAUUGUAACCUUCAGAAACAAAAGUUCAGUCACGGUAUGUUGUUCCUUUGAUAUAGAUAUUCUUCAGGAAAAGGAAACUGCAAUCUUAUUACUAGUAUUUUUUUUUUCCAGAAAAUGCUUUCUGUGUAAACGUGCAUUUACUCCCAGUACAUAACACAAAAUACAGUUUAAUACAAUUUAUCUAUUA
Molecule: non-coding RNA, 685 nt
Organism: Anas platyrhynchos (mallard)
Lineage: Eukaryota; Metazoa; Chordata; Aves; Anseriformes; Anatidae
Source: RefSeq, a predicted model, not a curated record